GCAGCACGGGGGCAACUCUGGUGGCGAGCGGCGGACGCGUGAGUAAUACAUCGAGACGUACCUAAUAGAUGGGGAUAGCUAACCGAAAGGUUGGAUAAUACCGAAUAAUCUCUGAGGAGGAAAGCUGGGGACUUAGCGUGCUAGGCCUGGCGCUAAUAGAGCGGUCGAUGGUUGAUUAGCUAGUUGGUGGGGUAAAGGCUUACCAAGGCGAUGAUCAAUAGCUGUUCUGAGAGGAUGAUCAGCCACACUGGGACUGAGACACGGCCCAGACUCCUACGGGAGGCAGCAGUGGG
RNAcentral lists this unclassified non-coding RNA (293 nucleotides) under uncultured bacterium. RNAcentral describes it as "partial contains 16S ribosomal RNA and 16S-23S ribosomal RNA intergenic spacer region". It matches the Rfam family "Bacterial small subunit ribosomal RNA", at positions 69 to 358 of the family's 1533-position model. The record is from RNAcentral.